UUCAAAACCAAAGGUUGUUGUUGGUAACAUGAAGAUUGAGACUACCUCUCUCAAUUCCACACCAGCAUAAUCCCUGUGUUUAAUUUCAGAUGUUGGCAGCAGAGUGGAAUUUGAAGGAUCAUUAUUCAUAGAUUAAACAACCACAGUCCUUCAGAUAACAGUUGGAUGGAAUUGUGAAAACUCAACUAGUUACUUUUUAUGCUACUGAGAUCAUUAGUUCGAAGUGGCACAAACUGUGAUUUUCCACCAACUCUUUGAUGUUUAAAGUGAACAGAAGGACUCAAGUCAUCAGACUCUUCAAUAGUGAAAAACAAGGAAAUCAAAAACCAGAACUUUGGAGUAGGGGAAGAACAAAAUUUUCUUUUGCAUGUGUGUAUAUAUGUUUCUAUCUGUGUGUAUAUUUAUGAGUAUGUACAGUGUAUAUAUUGUAUAUGCAUAUUCAUAUGUGGAAGUACAGGUGUGCACAUGCCACACUGACAUGUGGAGGUGGGAAGACACCACAGAUGUCACUCUUCCCUCUCCACCUUGUUUGCCCUGGUUUUCUUGUUGUUGGUUACUGCAUAUGCCAGGCUAGCUGGCUGUUAAGCUUCUAGAGAGUCUCUGUCUUGGCUUCCUAUUUCACUGUAAAUGGCUGGGAAUACAGACAUAUGGUGUUAUACAGGUUUUAUGUAAGUCCUAGAGAUUGGAACACAAGUCUUCACGUUUGCAUGGUAAAUACCUUACUCAUGAGCCGUCUCUUUAUCCUAGAAUAAAUAGUUUUAAAGGGUCAUCAAUGAGUAAACAGAAUGCUACCAAAACAAAGAGAGGAAGAACAAUGAUCCUUGGUAUAAGUGACAGCUUCCCAAACUGUGAGUUAUAAAAUCUAAAUGAAAAAAAAUGUUCUUAAUAUUUAUCAUCCAAAAUUACAAUGAAAAUUUGAGAAGAUUCAAUGAAAAAUACCAGAAAAAUUAAAAUAGCAAGAUAAGAACAUAGAAGCUACUUUUUUAAUUUGUUGAUUAGGACCUCCAAAUAAAGUCUAAUGUGUAUGUGAACAGGCAUUCCAGGAUGAAAGAACACAGGGGUUUCAUGUUAAAGACUGCAAGAAGGUUCUGAAAACUGAAGACUUUCACUUAUCUAGCACGAUUGAACAAUCACACUGGGGUGGAUAAAAACGGAGUGCUGGGGAGAAGUAUGCAGCGUUAAACCUCUGCAGUUCAACAUUACACCCCAGAAGAGUAAAACCCUUUAGGGGAAUACAUAUCAGUGACAUUUACCUUGGACUAUGUCUCCAUGCCUGUAAAAACAAGAGGAUGGCAGAGCAGAUCAGGUGGCAUAGGCCAUCCAUUCCACUUCCUUGGUCUGGUUGACGGCCAGGCAAGAGAUGAUAGAGACCAUUGAAAAUUUGACCUGGAAAUACUGUCCAGCAUCUUAUAAGUAUCCAUCAGGACAUCAGAAUUGGACAACCCAGUGUAUGCUCUCAGGAUGCACCUGUGCACUUUGUUUGAGCCUGCAAGAACUAUGGGUCCUGGUGAUCAAAUCUCAACCUUGGAACUCACAGGAAUUCAUACCCUAGCAUUACUUUGGAGAGGAUUCCUAAUACUUACAUUGCACCAGGAAAUGCUUUGUUGCCUUGACUGGAUGUUUUCAGCAUCUCUACAUCUUCAAAACCGAGAUAAUUUUAGUCAUACACAAGCAGAUGGAGGCUGAAAUUGAAUUGCUGCUGACUGUUGUCCCCUGUUAUGGCCUGUGGAGAUAUGACAAUUGAGGAAGAACUUAAAAGAAUGCCAAGUAACAGAGCAUGAAGAAGAGGGUGUGACUGGUGCCGAAGACAUUUUAUGGCUGAUGGUAUUUGGCAAGAAAAAAAUAUGCAUCCUUGACUGUAUCUUUGCAAAAUAAUUCCACCAUCAACCAUGCCUCAACACCUGUAAUUUAUUUGUCCCAUAAUUUAUUCAUUUUUCCAAAUCACAGUGUUCUUAUAUUAACCAUCUUCACGUUUCCACUUACAAAAGACUAAAUAAUUACACCACCUUGGAAGAAAUUUCUUUAUUUCAGAGGGAAUUUGGGUGCAGAAGACUGAGUCCAUAGAUAUCCAAUGUCUUGUCUGACUUACUUUGAAAUUCUUUGGGGGCUUGUUCUGGGUUGUGCAUGCUACUAGCUCAAGUCUUGCCCUUAACAGAGAGUCUGUAGCCUUCUGCAAGAUUCUUGAAGGAAUUUAGGACUUCAGAAAGCUUACAAAUUCCUGUUUUGGAUCUUUGGUUUAUGGGGCAGUGUAACUAUGCAUGUUUACUUUAUCGAUUGAGACAGAGCAUUUAAUGCAAAUAAGAACGACAGAGUGGUAGAGAAAACAGCUUGGAGGACAUUAUUACCUUUCCCAAUCCUCAUUUCUUGUCAUGAAUUAUUAAUCAUGAGGUAGCACCUCAUCUGAUGCUUUGAAAACUCUCCCCCUGGUAAGAACAGGCUAAUUGAAUUGGAGGAAGUGGAGCAGGAAAAACUAAACGUGGAUGUUGAUGGUUACACCAAAAGCAAUUAUCCACCCUUCAGCCUUCUCCACCUGUUGGAAAACCCAAGGCUCGCUAAUUCUUGUGCCAUGAGGGAAGAAAUGGAAAAGAAGAGGAAAAUGUUAAAGCAAUGCAUUCCAGUACAUCUUUCUUGAGAGUAAUUCAUUUGACUAAGAGGUGUAUGGGGGCAUUAGAAGGAGUAGGGGUAUGGGAAGAGGUCUGACACACCAGAGAUAAGAAUACAAACCAGUCCAAUCCCCAUCAGUGCUGCUUGGUAAAGCAACAAAAGCCUUAAUUUAGGUAAUAACUUUACCCAGCAACUCUCCCAUGAGGAGAUUUAUCUUGGCAGUUUAUAUAUGUGUAAAUAUUUGAAAUAAUUCAUAUGCAUAAUAAAAUAUGAAACCAUCA
This is a long non-coding RNA of Peromyscus californicus insignis, 2885 nucleotides long. RefSeq lists it as uncharacterized. The transcript is spliced from 5 exons. NCBI's taxonomy places the organism in Eukaryota, Metazoa, Chordata, Mammalia, Rodentia, Cricetidae. The record is from RefSeq and is a predicted model, not a curated record.